RNAcentral lists this ribosomal RNA (468 nucleotides) under uncultured bacterium. Its description in RNAcentral is "partial 16S ribosomal RNA". It matches the Rfam family "Bacterial small subunit ribosomal RNA", at positions 28 to 507 of the family's 1533-position model. The record is from RNAcentral.
GGCGAACGCUGGCGGCGUGCUUAACACAUGCAAGUCGAACGGAAAGGCCCUGCUUUUGUGGGGUGCUCGAGUGGCGAACGGGUGAGUAACACGUGAGUAACCUGCCCUUGACUUUGGGAUAACUUCAGGAAACUGGGGCUAAUACCGGAUAGGAGCUCCUGCUGCAUGGUGGGGGUUGGAAAGUUUCGGCGGUUGGGGAUGGACUCGCGGCUUAUCAGCUUGUUGGUGGGGUAGUGGCUUACCAAGGCUUUGACGGGUAGCCGGCCUGAGAGGGUGACCGGCCACAUGGGGACUGAGAUACGGACCAGACGCCUACGGGAGGCAGCAGUGGGGAAUAUUGCACAAUGGGCGGAAGCCUGAUGCAGCAACGCCGCGUGCGGGAUGACGGCCUUCGGGUUGUAAACCGCUUUCGCCUGUGACGAAGCGUGAGUGACGGUAAUGGGUAAAGAAGCACCGGCUAACUACGUG